RNAcentral lists this transfer RNA (72 nucleotides) under Ictidomys tridecemlineatus (thirteen-lined ground squirrel). RNAcentral's name for it is "Spermophilus tridecemlineatus (thirteen-lined ground squirrel) tRNA". It matches the Rfam family "tRNA". Rfam says of the family: Transfer RNA (tRNA) molecules are approximately 80 nucleotides in length. Their secondary structure includes four short double-helical elements and three loops (D, anti-codon, and T loops). Further hydrogen bonds mediate the characteristic L-shaped molecular structure. tRNAs have two regions of fundamental functional importance: the anti-codon, which is responsible for specific mRNA codon recognition, and the 3' end, to which the tRNAs corresponding amino acid is attached (by aminoacyl-tRNA synthetases). tRNAs cope with the degeneracy of the genetic code in two manners: having more than one tRNA (with a specific anti-codon) for a particular amino acid; and 'wobble' base-pairing, i.e. permitting non-standard base-pairing at the 3rd anti-codon position. RNAcentral also lists the same sequence under 1 other name. The record is from Rfam by way of RNAcentral. Lineage: Eukaryota; Metazoa; Chordata; Mammalia; Rodentia; Sciuridae.
UAGGGUGUAGCUCAGUGGUAGAGAGCUUGUCUAGCAUGCAUUAGGCUCUGGGUUCAAUCCCUAGUACCUCAA